AGUGAACGCUGGCGGUAGGCCUAACACAUGCAAGUCGAACGGCAGCACAGGAGAGCUUGCUCUCUGGGUGGCGAGUGGCGGACGGGUGAGGAAUACAUCGGAAUCUACUCUGUCGUGGGGGAUAACGUAGGGAAACUUACGCUAAUACCGCAUACGACCUACGGGUGAAAGCAGGGGACCUUCGGGCCUUGCGCGAUUGAAUGAGCCGAUGUCGGAUUAGCUAGUUGGCGGGGUAAAGGCACACCAAGGCGACGAUCCGUAGCUGGUCUGAGAGGAUGAUCAGCCACACUGGAACUGAGACACGGGCCAGAAUCCUACGGGAGGCAGCAGUGGGGAAUAUUGGACAAUGGGCGCAAGCCUGAUCCAGCCAUACCGCGUGGGUGAAGAAGGCCUUCGGGUUGUAAAGCCCUUUUGUUGGGAAAGAAAUCCAGCUGGCUAAUACCCGGUUGGGAUGACGGUACCCAAAGAAUAAGCACCGGCUAACUUCGUGCCAGCCGCCGCCGUAA
This 506-nucleotide ribosomal RNA is filed under the name uncultured bacterium. Its description in RNAcentral is "partial 16S ribosomal RNA". It matches the Rfam family "Bacterial small subunit ribosomal RNA", at positions 29 to 523 of the family's 1533-position model. The record is from RNAcentral.